This 94-nucleotide signal recognition particle RNA is filed under the name Clostridia bacterium. RNAcentral's name for it is "signal recognition particle sRNA small type". It matches the Rfam family "Bacterial small signal recognition particle RNA". From Rfam's summary of the family: The signal recognition particle (SRP) is a universally conserved ribonucleoprotein involved in the co-translational targeting of proteins to membranes. Archaeal SRP consists of a 7S RNA and homologues of the eukaryotic SRP19 and SRP54 proteins. In most bacteria, the SRP consists of a 4.5S RNA and the Ffh protein (a homologue of the eukaryotic SRP54 protein). Lineage: Bacteria; Bacillati; Bacillota; Clostridia. The record is from RNAcentral.
UAUGGAGAGUAUUCAAUAGAAGCCUAUGAACCUUGUCAGGUCCGGAAGGAAGCAGCAAUAAGUAGAUACUUUUAUGUGGGUACUUUCCAUAGAA